Aegilops tauschii subsp. strangulata is the source of this 5506-nucleotide non-coding RNA. Lineage: Eukaryota; Viridiplantae; Streptophyta; Magnoliopsida; Poales; Poaceae. The record is from RefSeq and is a predicted model, not a curated record.
CUUCUUCCACGCCACGCGUCCCCACGGCGACGGAAAUCCCACUUGCCUCGCCUCGCCGCCGUAACAAACAAAUCUUUCCUCUUUUCUUCUUCCUCCUGCUCCCGGUCUGCCCGCCGCUAACCCCUACGAGCAAGCAAUCCCGCCAGCCCCAAAGACACACCACCCCCCCAGGCCUCCAGAUCGGAGCUGGCGAGUCCCGGAACCUACCACACCUGCUGUCCCGAGUGAGGCGGCCGGGCUGGGGGUUGGUCGCUUCCUGGCUGGCCACCACCCACGACCAGUUCUUGAUCCCGGACUGCUUCAAGCGGGCCGGGUCUGGUCGUUUCUUGGGUUGAACUGAUUGGUUGCUGCUGACUUGGUUGAUCUCCUCUUCUUCCAUUGCUGCUUCGUCGUGUCGGCUGGCCAUUGCAGACAAGGUGUUUGUUUGGCGGCAGCGGGCGCUGCUGAGCUAGGUUGCUCGCUGGCUUCUUCAUUGGUGCUCGGAGGUAAGCCAGGUAGGUAGAUCUGCUCGGACGCACGGCCAUUCGACAGUUGCUGUAUCAAAGCUAGAUAGACAGGCAGAUCUUGAGAGACGCCGUUCAGUGUUCUGCCGCUCGGGCGGACCUUGUUGAUUCGUAGCUCUCAAGCUUUACCAUGUUGAGAAAUCCCUGCUGAGUGUGGAUAAACUUCACAUAGGAGGUUUCUGAGGCUGAACCAAUCGCUUUUGACUUGUGAGGGCUGAGGAUCAGUAAUUAAUCAAAUCAUGUGGAGACCGUUCAGGCAGCUCAUGCCCAAAGAGCAUUCCGGGCCUUCUGGCGGCCUCGAGGGCCGAACCAUCGAUGUCGGCAAUGUGAAGGUGCACGUCCGGGAAGCCAUUGCCGAGGGUGGGUUCUCGUGCGUGUACCUCGCCCGGGACCUGACCAACCCGGCGAAGCAGUACGCGCUCAAGCACGUCAUUGUCCAGGACAAGGAGUUGCUGGACCUGGUGCAGAAGGAGAUCACGGUGAUGAGGGCGCUUAAGGGGCACCCGAACGUGGUCACGCUUGUUGCGCACGCCAUACUGGAUACGGGCCGUGGGAGGGAGGCACUUCUGCUGAUGGAGUUCUGCGAGAGAUCGCUGGUUUCUGCCUUGGACGCUAGAGGUACUGCAGGGUUCUAUGAUGAGGAGCAGGUUGCUCUCAUCUUCCGGGAUGUUUGCAAUGCGGUCUUCGCGAUGCACUGCCAGACACCACCUGUUGCUCACAGGGAUCUAAAGGCUGAAAAUGUGCUUCUUGGUGCUGACGGGGCUUGGAAAUUAUGUGAUUUUGGUAGUGUAUCAACAAACCAUAAGUGCUUUGAUAAACCAGAGGAGAGGGGCAUUGAAGAAGAUGUCAUCAGAAAGCAUACAACUCCUGCUUACAGGGCUCCUGAGAUGUGGGACUUGUACAGGAGGGAGGUUAUUAGUGAGAAAGUAGAUAUAUGGGCUCUUGGAUGUCUCAUGUAUAGAAUCUGCUACUUAAAAUCAGCUUUUGAUGGAGAAUCAAAGCUUCAGAUCCUCAAUGGGAACUAUCGUAUCCCUGAAUUACCGAAGUACUGUUCUUCCAUUACAAGUCUGAUCGAAGAGAUGCUUCAGUCCUCUCCAGAUGCCAGACCAGACAUUACACAGGUAUGGUUUCGUGUUAAUGAGUUACUUCCUUUGGAGCUGCAAAAGGAUUUACCUGAUGGAUCCCCAUCUGGAUCAGCGUUUGAACUGCAAACUACUGAAGAUGAAGGACCCUCUUCAUCAUGGUCAAGAGACAAUGUGAGAAAUACACCUCCGAAAGGUCCUUCCAGUUUGAGGUCACAAGUUCCUGUUGAGAGUAAGGGUUCUGUAGGUGCAUUUUGGUCAACUCAACAUGCACAAGAACUAGCUUUUGCAGAUGACAAGGGGUCAGUUCUAGAUCAAGAGCCCAUAUAUGAUGGCAUAACAAAGCAACCUCAGGCAAAGAACCAGAACACGACACGGAAUGCAUACAGACAGUCUCUUUCUGCUUCUGUUGAUAGUUCUCCUGGGGAUUUUGAAAUAAGGUUUUCUCCAAAUGGUUCAGAAUAUGGACUAGAGAAAACCCAAAACACUAAACCAGAUAACAAAACCAGUGCACAGACUGCCACUUUUAGCUCCUUUGUGGCAGACUUUGAUAAUGUUAAGGUGAGCUCAGAGGACAAUGCCGGCAGUUUAAACACGACAAGUAAAUUGAAAGAACAACAGCUGGAGGCUGAAGUAACUUUACUCAAGGAGCAAUUGAAGAUAGCAAACUUGGAGAAGGAAGAAAUUUCACUGAAGUUUGAUAGAUUGUCAGCCAUUUGCUCCUCUCAGAGGCGGGAGAUACAGGAACUUAAACAAGCUCUAGCCACAGCUUCUGCACCAGCGCCAGUUAAGGAGUUGAAAGAAAAUUUGAAGGCUGAAUUCUCCCCACCCAGCACAAGCCUUGACACUCCGCCAAGGGAGAAGAUUGCAGGAACCCCACCAGAGCUCCGGCAAGGUCUAUUUACAUCAAGUCCAGGGACACCAAGCCCGGAUCCCAAGCCAUGGUCCGCUUUUCCUGAAGAGCCGAAAGCUCAAGCAGCUGUAAAAAGUGCCCGCCCGAGGUCGGUCCGAACUCUAAGGGCAUCGCAAAGCAACAAAGCCGGCUCGCUUAGUCAGUCAAAAACAAACUCUGGUGCCGACCCCUUUGCCUUCGGUCAAGAUAGCUUUAAGGCUGUACCUUCUGGCACCGUGCCUUCUGAGAUGUCAAAUUUGGGGAAUGCUUCUCAGUCCCUCAACACUCUGAAGGCUGAAGUGGAGAAAGAUGCACCCUACCAACCAGCUGGAUGGACUGGGUUUUAAUGUGCUAUCGCUAAUAAGGAUAUUUGGUAUCUGAUGAGACUAUACUCCUAUAGAAUUACGGAAAUAUGGUCCAUCCACUGUAUCAUAAUCAUAUAAAUUGUGUGGUGUUGAGAGGGAGCAAAAUGAGCCCAACCUAGGAGUGCCAGAAUUGACGUUUCCUUGCACUGAUGGUGUAACCUCAUCCUGCAAGCACAAAAAAUCAUACGCAGAAAAAGGGGGAUGAAGAACAGUUUUGUAUGCAAAUCAGAGAAUGUUUUGUGGUUUUAACCAGGAGGCUCGUAUGAUUAGACAAAGUGCUUACUGUCCACAGAUCAUGAGCAUCUACAACAGCUGAUUGGUUUAGACCAAUGUUGCUCCAACUAGCAGUAAUAGAUGCUUCAUCAGGCCCUCUGUUCCACAGCACAAGAGCAACUCUCCCUCGACUUAAGCGACCAGCCCAAACCUAAGCCCAAGUAAAUCAAGUAUAGAUGAAUUAUACUAAGUGUCGAACAUAACAUGGGGUCAUUGAGCUGACAUCGCAGCCAAGUAUCAGAGGAGCCUAGUUGAAUCCAAAUCAACAACAUAAUCUUGUGAAAAUUCUUGCCUAACAAUGCUGUUCUGUUGGUUUACUUCUUUUUUUAUCUCUCAUGCAAUGAAAGUCACUUAUCAUUACCUUGACUAGAGCCCAUAUGCUGAAAUGAGAACGGUACUCUUCUAUUGUCAUCCCCCCGUUUCCUACUUCCAGCAUGUCUGGGUCUGAAGCAGAAACAUUCAAAGAGAUCACUGUGAAUUGUCAUCACAAGCAUAAUUUUUUUUUUGUUGGGAACAAACCCCAGAUCCUACAUCCGUCUUCCUACACACUUGCAUGAUCAAAUUUUAUCAUAGGCCUACAGAGACUAACCAUUCCAUCCACCAGGCCCUGCAUAAGGUGCCCACUUGUCGUUCUUGUCAGCGUUGUCCGUCAUGCUGCACAAUUUGCCGUGGUAUUCAGGAUAGGAAUUAGAAUCUCCAUCUAAACUUUGCAGAAGUUUGGAAGGGGCAGUAAAAGUUCUCCAGGAUGUAAACUUCUUCACCUUUCCCAUGUGUUCUUGAUGUCUUCUGUUGUCCUCCAGCUGUUUGCAAAGCUGCCUGCCCAUGUCGCUGGAUCAUCCACACCCCUGCACAUCAUUGUUGUUUUUUCUCAAACAGAUGAAUGAAAUUCGAACCCUCCCUUUUGGUCAGUUGAAAAGCAAGAAUCAGUUACCAUUCGCAAAGGGAGAAGAAAACGUCCCUUCCAGAAUUCAUAAGGGCUUCACUCAUCCUGUUAUAUCUGCAUUUUUGUUGUGAAUAUGUCAAAAAUAUUUGAAUUCGGAUAAAAUGUGACAAGCUUCUAAGUUCUGUAAUUGUAAAGGUUACCUUGUUAGUGGGCUGAUGUUCUGGUUGUUGCAGUUGUCAUACUUCAAGUAGUCAAUCCCCUUGUAACACAACAAUUUAGAAAAAUCAGUUUUUCUCCUCCUUUGGAACCCCUACCCUACGAGGAAAACCAGUUUUGACAUGUGUAAGUUUUAGAUGAUCUAAUGAACAUUUUAAUUGGUUUACCCAAGCUGCCAAAGUUCUCGCAUCUUGGUCUUCGUAUCCUAGCGAACCGGGCUGCAGCCUGCUGCAAGUUCGCAGUCUGAAAAGAGAGAGUGGUGUGAUUUAAGCAAGGGAGAGGUCCAUGUGGACUGGGGUACUGGUCACGUCUCACGUGUUCCCAGUCUUAUCAGAAACAUUUUGACUGGCUAAUUUUUUGCGAGUUCUCUAUAAAGCGCAUACCCUGCAUCGCCGUAGACUCCGAGUUUGAGCCCUUUCCCAUGCACAUAAUCUGCUAAGGCCCUCAUUCCUGAUGGAAAUGUUGUUCCAUUUGCAGCUAGAUUGCCCUGUAAAAUAACAGUCGUUCUUUUUAACGACUGAACGAAACCUAUGAAAAUACGUCGUUCUAACAUUGCAGCUGAAAAGCUUAUGCUGGUUUCACAUGAUUGAGGAUCAAUAAUGGAUUUUAAAAUUUGUUUUGUUCUUUCUAUCUACACACAUAUCAUCUCUUCUAUUAACAUGUACUACUAGUCACCUGGGAGUCUCUGUCAUGAGAUGCCCAACAGUCGUCUGCAGUUUCAAAACAAACAUAUCCACUGUGAAUAUUGCAGGCCUCAUUUCCAAACAUGAAGAGUUGAAAAGGGCGAAAACCAAAGAGAGCGAGAAACGCGAAGCGAUUACCUAAGUUGACAUACUCAUACCCCAGUUUCGCAAGACCAGUAUCCACCAUGGCAUCAGCUGCACAAACACAAGCCGAAGUGGUUCCAGCUAUUCCACCUGAAUACACCGUGCUGUCAGUUCAGCAAGACUUGAUUGUUGGAAAUAUUUCAUGGAGAAGCAGAUAGAAACCAGUUCUCCCUGUUCGGUUUAGAAGGGCUUGAAGAGGAUCCGGGCCUUCUUUGGUUCAUAGGGUUGGAAUAUAAUAGGAAUGUGAAACUUGUAGAAAUUGAGAUGUCGUGUAUUUUAAAUCCUAUAUGAAUAGGAAUAGGAAGAUAGAUGUCUGUUGGUUCACAUCAUAGGAUUUGUUUUCAUUGAGUCUAGGGUAAUGUUUAUUUUCCUGAGAUGUGCAGGAUGGUAACAAUUCCUCCGUAGAAAUAUGAUUCUAUUCUUACAAACCAAAGGACUAUAAAAGAUUUUUUUUCCUUUUGAAAA